CCUACGGGAGGCAGCAGUGGGGAAUAUUGGACAAUGGGCGCAAGCCUGAUCCAGCCAUACCGCGUGUGUGAAGAAGGCCUUUUGGUUGUAAAGCACUUUAAGCGAGGAGGAGGCUCUUGAGGUUAAUACCCUUGAUGAGUGGACGUUACUCGCAGAAUAAGCACCGGCUAACUCUGUGCCAGCAGCCGCGGUAAUACAGAGGGUGCGAGCGUUAAUCGGAAUUACUGGGCGUAAAGCGCGCGUAGGCGGCUUGUUAAGUCGGAUGUGAAAUCCCCGGGCUCAACCUGGGCACUGCAUUCGAUACUGGCAAGCUAGAGUAUGGGAGAGGAAGGUAGAAUUCCAGGUGUAGCGGUGAAAUGCGUAGAGAUCUGGAGGAAUACCGAUGGCGAAGGCAGCCUUCUGGCCUAAUACUGACGCUGAGGUGCGAAAGCAUGGGGAGCAAACAGGAUUAGAUACCCUGGUAGUCCAUGCCGUAAACGAUGUCAACUAGCCGUUGGGGACCUUGAGUCUUUAGUGGCGCAGCUAACGCGAUAAGUUGACCGCCUGGGGAGUACGGUCGCGAAGACUAAAACUCAAAGGAAUUGACGG
This 588-nucleotide ribosomal RNA is filed under the name uncultured bacterium. RNAcentral describes it as "bacterial SSU rRNA". It matches the Rfam family "Bacterial small subunit ribosomal RNA", at positions 338 to 916 of the family's 1533-position model. The record is from RNAcentral.